This is a non-coding RNA of Aedes albopictus (Asian tiger mosquito), 46 nucleotides long. Lineage: Eukaryota; Metazoa; Arthropoda; Insecta; Diptera; Culicidae. The record is from Rfam.
CAAACGGUUCUUUUCAGGACCAUCGAAAUUAUUCCUAGAGUUAAUU